GUUCAUCUCCUGGAGCCUCCGGUCCAGGAAAUCCUCUCGACUACGGGUCUCGAGGGUCCUCUGGCAGAAUGGGGGUAGAGAUCUUCCAAGGGUGGAGUCAUGAUCUGACUGAGGGCUCUCCAGCCCUGGGUUCGUCUUCCUAGGAAAGUCGGGGCGGCUGGCCCAAGUGGCCCGCCCUACCACCGGAUUCUGGUGUUCCGGUGACAC
This 207-nucleotide long non-coding RNA is filed under the name Elaeis guineensis (African oil palm). RNAcentral describes it as "long non-coding RNA (EGUI_LNC057555)". The record is from RNAcentral. Lineage: Eukaryota; Viridiplantae; Streptophyta; Magnoliopsida; Arecales; Arecaceae.